AUGGAGAUUCCCAUGGGGACCCAGGGCUGCUUCUCAAAGAGCCUCCUGCUCUCAGGUAAGGAGGAAAUAGACCCUAAAGGCCAAGGGGAGAAAUGGGGACUCAGCCCAGAGAUUGAAGUUUCCUCUUAGAAGUAGGGAAAGAUUACCUGAGAGGAUGAAAUUAGAAUAAGAUGGGGGAGGGGCAACAGAAUCACAGCCUCAUUGCCAUUUUAUCUAUGGAAUUUUCUAUAAUGUUAGGACCAUGAAGGCAGGAAUUUAUGUAUGUUUGGUUCCCUGCUAUAUCUCCAGUGUCUAGAAAUUGAAGGAAGUUUAGAUGUAUUACAUAUAGUUGGUAUUAUAGCUUAUAUAUUACAUAUGCCUAUAAGUAUUGGUUGAAUAAAUGAAUGAAUGAAUGAAUUCAGAGAGUCCAUGUGUUUAGAAGCAGGCCACACAGCAUCUCAAGGUAGAAAAACCUCUGGAUCAACAGGAUGGCAAAUCUGUGGUAACCAUGCCUGUGUUCCCACUCCUGCACCCAGGGCAGACAUCACUAAUCAAUCCCAGCAUUGUUUCCAAUGAGCAGCACUCAGAGUCCUUGCUCCCCGCUGAAGAUCUGUAUCUAGAGAGGAGCAUGCCAUGGUCCCUGGCAACACCCCUGAUCUCAGCCCUUCCCUGUAACUUCCCACAGCCUCAAUCCUGGUCCUCUGGAUGCUCCAAGGCUCCCAGGCAGCUCUCUACAUCCAGAAGAUUCCAGAGCAGCCUCAAAAGAACCAGGACCUUCUCCUGUCAGUCCAGGGUGUCCCAGACACCUUCCAGGACUUCAACUGGUACCUGGGGGAGGAGACGUACGGAGGCACGAGGCUAUUUACCUACAUCCCUGGGAUACAACGGCCUCAGAGGGAUGGCAGUGCCAUGGGACAGCGAGACAUCGUGGGCUUCCCCAAUGGUUCCAUGCUGCUGCGCCGCGCCCAGCCUACAGACAGUGGCACCUACCAAGUAGCCAUUACCAUCAACUCUGAAUGGACUAUGAAGGCCAAGACUGAGGUCCAGGUAGCUGAUUGAAAAAUGGAGGCACGCAGUGGUUAUGACUUGCUGAGUAAAGAAUACGAACCAGAAUGAUGUGACAUGGGAAAGGAGGUCAUCAGGGAGACCUCACUCAAGAAGUGACCUUAGAGGAGAGACCAGAAGAAGGAUGGCGACCACAGAGAAGCCAGAAUUGGGCCCUGCUCAUGAUGCUGGUGACAACAACAUCUAUGAAGUGAUGCCCUCUCCAGUCCUCCUGGUGUCCCCCAUCAGUGACACAAGGUCCAUAAACCCAGCCCGGCCCCUGCCCACACCCCCACACCUGCAGGCGGAGCCAGAGAACCACCAGUACCAGCAGGACCUGCUAAACCCCGACCCUGCCCCCUACUGCCAGCUGGUGCCAACUUCCUGAUGGGUCCUGGGCCAGGCCAGCCAGGGAGAAGACAAGGCCCCAGCCCUCCUCUGGGAGCCUCACACCUGAGACCAGCAGGACAAGGCCAUUGGGGGCUGUGGGGCCGAUGAGGUGGACUCAGCCAAAGACUCAGCAGCACAUGGGGCAGGUGUCCUGGCAGGGGGACAGGAGACUGUAACAGGCCCAGGUCCUUGUGCAGCCCGUGAAUGCACGCCCGCCUUCGGUCUGUUCCUUCAAGCAAGCUGGCCUGGGCCAUGUGCCUGUGAAAGGCAGGCUCUGGCCCCUUUCCAUGCCAAAGUCCCCCAAGAUCUGGAUAUCUGGGGACAAGAUGGUGGCCUCAGGCCUGCCUCCCAGGCAGUUGGCUGGGCUCCCAACUGUCUGUCCUCAAUGCCCUACCCCAACUCCACUAGUGACCCUCAGAGUCUUCUCCCCUUAGGACAAGGCAGACACCCCACCAUGCGGGCCUCAGGUGGCAGAGAGGCCCAGCCUCACAGGCCUGUGGCCCCACACACCAGUCCCAGCAAGGUGACCACGGCUGCUGGACCCCUUCCCUGUUCAGGCAGGCCCAGCCCCUCUCAGAACCUGCUGCCAGCUGCUGGUCUUGGCCCCCACCCUGAAUCUUACUGAGUCCCUCUGGGCAGCAGCUCCCUUCUCCACCCCACCCCAGCACCCGUCCCAAAUGUGGCCUCAGCUUGUCCUCCCCUUCCCCAAACUAUGCAUUCAUUCAGCAAUAAAUGAGCCUUUGCUGUAUGCCAGACCCAGUUCUAGGCUCUUGCAGCCCUGGUAGAAAGCAAAACAAAAACUCCCGCUUUCCCAGAGGGUCACUUGGCAGGGGAAAGAAUCAGGAAAUAAAAUAAAUAAUGAA
RNAcentral lists this unclassified non-coding RNA (2276 nucleotides) under Homo sapiens (human). RNAcentral describes it as "partial carcinoembryonic antigen related cell adhesion molecule 19, transcript variant 10". Lineage: Eukaryota; Metazoa; Chordata; Mammalia; Primates; Hominidae. The record is from RNAcentral.